RNAcentral lists this ribosomal RNA (253 nucleotides) under uncultured bacterium. Its description in RNAcentral is "partial 16S ribosomal RNA". It matches the Rfam family "Bacterial small subunit ribosomal RNA", at positions 524 to 776 of the family's 1533-position model. The record is from RNAcentral.
UACGUAGGGGGCUAGCGUUGUCCGGAAUCAUUGGGCGUAAAGAGCUCGUAGGCGGUUUGUUGCGUCGGCUGUGAAAUCCCGAGGCUCAACCUCGGGUCUGCAGUCGAUACGAGCAAACUAGAGUGUUGCAGGGGAGACUGGAAUUCCUGGUGUAGCGGUGAAAUGCGCAGAUAUCAGGAGGAACACCGGUGGCGAAGGCGGGUCUCUGGGCAACAACUGACGCUGAGGAGCGAAAGCGUGGGGAGCAAACAGG